UAAAAUAAUAAACUGCUGCUGGAAAGAGCCGAGCCACUGGCCGGAGUGAGGAAGAGAAAGGGAUAAAAAAAAAAAAGAAACGCUGAGGAAGAAAAAUAGUUGGUACUCUACUCAAAGGUUCCUCAAAGCAGUGUGAAAGAGGAAGAGAGAAGAGGAAGAACAACUGCUCCCAUUACCACUCUGCAAGGAGAUCUGCAGUGGACAGGAACUUCUCUGCAGAGCUCCAUGACAUAGAGACCAGCUUGCCAGACUCUCUCUCCAGGAUCGUGAUUCUGAUCAGGGGCUUCAAUCAUUGGACACGUGGCCUGGGGCUCCAGAGAGGAGAAGGAGACAUUCUUUCACUAACUGGCCCUGCCUUGGCUGUGAAUAGAAGGGUGUGAGAGGGAGUCCAGGCUGGGGCAGGGGGCAAGUAGUAGGGCUAAGACUGCAUGCCCCUGUCUCUCUCUGUGAGAGUGUGUCUGAUGUGUGUUUGCGUUUCCUCUGCAGUGUGUUAGCAUUACCUUAGUAAGAGAGGAAUGAGAGGUCGGCAGACCAUGUGCCUCUUUGUGUUGCCUCCUGUCACCUGAGUGUGUUUGUGUGUGUGUGCAAGGAUAGUGUGUUUUGUAUCUGAGUAAUUGAGAACAAACACUCGUCCCUACCACGGGUUGGAGUGUAAACCUCUUCCUUAGUGACCGGAGAAGCAGUGGAAGAAGGGAGAGAAAAAGGGAAGGAAUAAGAGGAAAAGCUUGAACAUUUCUUCAGAUUCUCAAUCUUUCCACCUCAGUCUACAAACCUCUCGACAGCACUUGGAUAGUUCCCUCCAGUCUCCAGACCUCUACCCUGACCCCUGGAAUUCUAUCCCAGCUCAAGGACUUCUUCCCCAGCCUACAGACCACCUCAGACAGCCUGUCACCUCCUACAUCCCACCCAGCCUCAGCCCAGCUCUCAGGAUAUCUAACCCCAGGCUUGAGACAUGACAGCAGGAUAGCUACGGCUCCCUUCUUAGCCUGUGUUCCAUCGAGGAGGAUGCUUCUAUCAUCUAGCCGAGCAGGGCGAACACACACACUGACACACACAUGGCGACUAGGGAGAUGAUGUAGAAGUGAGGGUGAGGGGGAGGAGACUCAUCCUAGAGCCGAAGAUGAUUGGCUGGAACUUCACCUUGCAAGAGCUCCUCAGGAAAUUUGAAGAGGAUAUCCAGGCAGAGAUCGAUGCCCAUAAUGAUAUCUAUAAGAGUGUGGACGGGAAUAAGCCCAAGAUGGUCAAGUCCCUGGGGACGUCUGAGGAGGCAGUGUUUCUGCAGCACCGACUGGACGACAUGAACCAGCGCUGGAGCGACCUCAAGACCAAAUCUGCAAACAUACGGGCUCACCUGGAGGCGAGUGCGGAGCGUUGGAGUCGUCUUCAGAGCCUGCUGGAGGAGCUGUGGAGGUGGAUCUGUCUGAAGGAGAAGGAACUGGCCAAACAGAUGCCCAUAGGAGGAGAUGUCCCCACCCUUCUGCAGCAGCACAACCACUGCAAGGUGUUGUGGUCGGAGCUGAAGGACCGCGAGCAUGUUGUGGCCAAUACACUGGACCAGGCACACACAUUCCUGGCUGACCAGUCCAUCGAGGGGCCGGGAGAACCAUGCAAGGACCUACAGCCCAAAACAGACCUGACUCCAGAGGAGAAGGUGCAGGGUGUGGCCAGGGCCAUCAGGCAGCAGACAGCAGAGGUGCAGGAGCGUUGGGAGCGUCUGCAGGACCACGCUGGUGGAUGGCAGAGUCAGGUAGAAAGGGCAUUUGAGAGGCUACAAGAGCUCCAGAGCAACAUGAACCAGCUGGACCUGCGGCUAGCCAGGGCAGAAGAGACCAAGGCUGGCUGGCAGCCUGUAGGAGACCUGCUCAUAGACUCACUGCAGGAACACAUAGAGAAGACCACGGCUUUCAAGGAAGAGAUGGCCCCUCUGAGGCAGGAUGUGAAUGUGGUGAAUGAGCUGUCUGGUGAACUAGCUCCUCUGGAUGUGCAGCUGUCCUCCACCUCCUCCAGGCAACUGGAUGACCUCAACAUGCACUGGAAACUACUACAGGUGGCCAUUGAAGAGAGACUAAAGGUCCUUCAGGAAGCCCACAGAGACUUUGGCCCUUCCUCUCAGCACUUCCUAUCCACCUCUGUGCAGCUCCCGUGGCAGAGGGCGCUCUCUCAGAAUAAGGUUCCGUACUACAUCAACCACCAGACUCAGAGUACCUGCUGGGACCAUCCAAAGAUGACAGAGCUCUACCAAUCGCUUGCCGACCUAAACAACGUGAGAUUUUCCGCUUACAGAACAGCCAUGAAAAUCCGCAGGCUACAGAAAGCACUAUGCUUGGACCUGUUGGACCUGAAGGUGGCCCAGAGCACCUUUGAACAACACAAGCUUACCCAGAAUGCCCAGCUGCUGACAGUGCCUGAUGUGAUCAACUGUCUGACAUCCAUUUAUGACGGGCUGGAGCAGCAGCACAAGGACCUCGUCAAUGUUCCGCUUUGUGUCGACAUGUGUCUCAACUGGCUGCUAAAUGUCUAUGACACUGGACGCAGUGGGAAGAUUCGUGUCCUGUCCAUGAAGAUAGGAUUGCUCUCGCUCUCCAAGGGCCAUCUGGAGGAGAAAUACAAAUACCUGUUCAGUCAGGUGGCAUCGUCAGGGGAUAAGUGUGACCAGAGACAGCUGGGUUUGUUGCUCCAUGACGCUAUCCAGAUACCACGGCAACUAGGAGAGGUCUCCGCAUUCGGAGGGAGCAACAUCGAACCCAGUGUCCGGAGCUGCUUCCAACACGUGACCAAUAAGGUGGAGCUGGAGCCCAGGCAGUUUGUUGAUUGGAUGAGACUGGAGCCCCAGUCUGUGGUGUGGCUUCCUGUGCUACAUAGAGUGGCGGCUGCUGAGACCGCCAAGCACCAGGCCAAGUGUAACAUCUGUAAAGAGUGUCCCAUUGUGGGGUUCAGGUAUCGCAGUCUGAAGCACUUUAACUAUGACGUGUGUCAGAGCUGCUUCUUCUCUGGACGAACCGCCAAGGGCCACAAGCUCAACUACCCCAUGGUGGAGUACUGCACGCCGACCACGUCAGGUGAGGACAUGCGUGAUUUCACCAAGGUGCUGAAAAACAAGUUCCGCUCCAAGAAGUACUUUGCCAAGCACCCCCGUUUGGGCUAUUUACCAGUCCAGACUGUUCUUGAUGGAGACAAUAUGGAGAUUCCCGUCACUCUCAUCAGCAUGUGUCCGGAGCAGUAUGAGCUUUCCCAGUCACCCCAGCUCUCUCAUGAUGACACUCAUUCCAGGAUAGAGCAGUAUGCUAGCAGACUGGCUCAGAUGGAACGCUCCAAUGGUUCUCUGCCCACUGACAGCAGCUCAACUACAGGAAGCAUGGAUGAUGAGCAUGCUAUGAUCCUGCAGUACUGCCAGAACCUAGGGGGGGAGGUGUCUCCCUGCAGCCAGCCCCAGAGCCCUGCCCAGAUCCUACAGGCCGUGGAGAGAAAGGAGCGGGGAGAGCUGGAGCGAAUCAUCCAGCGUCUGGAGGACGAGCAGUGGACCCUGCAGAGGGAGUAUGAGCAGCUGAAGGAGCAGCAUGGGGGUCAGCGGGGGCCUGGUUCUGUGGGGCUCUGGGACCCUGAGGGGUCAUCUCACCCCAGGGGUCCUGAUGAUGCUGACCUGCUGGCUGAGGCCAAACUGCUCUGGCAGCACAAGGGCCGUCUGGAGGCCCGCAUGCACAUACUGGAGGAGCACAACAAACAGCUAGAGUCCCAGCUCCACCGGCUCAGACAGCUACUGCACCAGCCUCUUCUCGUCUUACUUGAUCCUCAAUCCCUCCUCUUGUUUUUUCCCCUCCUCCCUUGCCCUCUUUACUACUCCAUCUAUCUUUCAUCAUUUUUCCUCUCUCUCAGCCGGAGAUGGACUCCAGGGUGAAUGGAGUGUCGUCCCCCAGCAUGCAAGAGCGAAGGGCCCUCACCGAAAACACAGCUUCAAGCCUCUCUUCGAGACCACAGGUGAUGUGAGGACCCUCAGAAAGUUCCUUUCGGAGAGAGAGAGAGAAACAUUCCCAAACACACAGCUUAUACGCUCUCCCUUUUCUGGAGGACAGACGGAGAGCUAGAGCCUCUAGCAAGAGACCUCCCUAAAACCCAAAGACAUACAGAACUUUACUGCUAUUACCACGUCGUCAUCGUCUAGUACUAUGCAAAAUGUACAUUUUAUGAACUGUAGAUUGCACCUGGAGUCGGUUAAACAUUUGUCAGUGAUUUUUAAGAACAUGCCGAUUGUUAUGGAGUUCGGGGGCUUUGUAUAAGAGCAGAUGCUUUUUGGGAAUUAUUUUUGUUGCUUUUGUUUUGUUCUGCUUAAACUGGGAAUCAAACUGUUUACAUUGUUGUUAUUCCACUGCCUCCCUCUGCUUGUACCCUCUGCCGUCUCCACGAUGGACAUGUUCACUGUUUUUCUCUCUGAUUUGGGAAAGAGAAGGCCCAAUUUAAGAUUAUCGCCUCAAAUGGUCAUUUUAGACAAUCGGCUCUGUGUCAGUCCUUUGAAGCUUCACGUUUGUUUUUGAAAAUAUUUUUCCUCUUUAAAGCGUAAAUAAUGCUUUUCUGUCGGAGUUGUCAUGCCGGCCGCAAUUGCAAUGUGAACUUAACCUCUUCUGUGCCUAUACAGUUGUCACUCCAAGUGUGGCAGACUGGUUUACCGUUGUAGUAAUUAAUUUGGAUUGUUGUAUUAAGGCGUGAUAGUGGAAACAAUAAAUUAAUUUAAAUUUAAAGCUGUUCAGAAAUAAAUCGGAUUCGUAAGUGGCAAUUGUAAGAGGUCAUUGUGUAGAAUAGUUUUAUAAAUUGAUGUAAAAAAAUAAUAAGAAAGCCAUGAUUGCCUUGCUACCUCAGACACAAACACCUUUUCAUUUGCGUGGUCUGUAGCUUGUUUCAUUUCAAUUUUAUUGUACUCGUGACAAGAAAACGAACCGAAAAACAUUCUAAGUGUGUUGCUUAUAGAUGUGUACUGCUUUGGGGAGAUACCUAGUAGACAAAACACAUCCUAUUACUUUACCACCGAUGGGUCUGUGGCCUGCUGCCCAUCAUCAGUAUACUGUGUCUGUAUGUGUUGAUUUUCCCCUGUCAGACCUCUAGCACUGGUCUCUCUCAGAGUUAUGCGUCGUGUUUUGUGCUUUGCUAUCCUGUAAAACUUGUUCGUUUUAAUAACACUACUAUAACCUCCUCCAACUAUGUCCUUGGACUGAUGAUAGAGAUGAUGAUGAUGAUGGUCUUGCCUGAGGUAUGCGGUGUAAAUUGACCACACUACAUGUAAGGCUACAUAUGUUUUAUUCUAAAUACAUUUUUAUAACAGCUGUUCU
Molecule: RNA transcript, 5318 nt
Organism: Oncorhynchus keta (chum salmon)
Lineage: Eukaryota; Metazoa; Chordata; Actinopteri; Salmoniformes; Salmonidae
Gene name: utrophin-like
Exons: 25
Source: RefSeq, a predicted model, not a curated record